AGUGAACGUUGGCGACGUGGAUUAGGCAUGCAAGUCGAGCGAGAACCGUAGCAAUACGGGGACAGCGGCGAAAGGGACAGUAAUGUGUAGGUACCUACCUCCGGGUUCGGGAUAGUUGCGGGAAACUGCAGGUAAUACCGAAUAACGUCUCCGGACCAAAGGUGUGAUUCCACCUGGAGAGGGGCCUGGAGCCUAUUAGCUUGUUGGCGGGGGAACGGCCCACCAAGGCGACGAGGGGUAGCGGGUGUGAGAGCACGACCCGCGUCAUUGGGGCUGAGACACUGCCCAGACCCCGACGGGUGGCUGCAGUCGUGAAUCUUCGGCAAUGGGCGCAAGGCUGAACGAGCGACGCCGCGUGCGGGAUGAAGGCCUUCGGGUUGUAAACCGCUGUCGUAGAGGAGGAAAUGCAGGGGGGUUCUCCCCUCUGUUUGACCUAUUCUAGGAGGAAGUACGGGCUAAGUUCGUGCCAGCCGCCGCCGUAA
RNAcentral lists this ribosomal RNA (482 nucleotides) under uncultured bacterium. Its description in RNAcentral is "partial 16S ribosomal RNA". It matches the Rfam family "Bacterial small subunit ribosomal RNA", at positions 28 to 523 of the family's 1533-position model. The record is from RNAcentral.